CAUUAGAUGACUGAAAGUAAGUAAUGAUCUCUUAAAUCAUUUUAUAGUAAAUUUAACGAUUACUUCUAAUGA
This 72-nucleotide transfer RNA is filed under the name Bombyx huttoni. RNAcentral describes it as "tRNA-Lys". Lineage: Eukaryota; Metazoa; Arthropoda; Insecta; Lepidoptera; Bombycidae. The record is from RNAcentral.